CCUGGCAACCGCCCCGUCUGAGAAGUGAGGAGCCCCUCCGCCUGGCAGCCACCCUGUCUGAGAAGAACAGGAUUCAUCACUCGGUGUUUGAUGUGAAGUCCCUUCAGCUCUCCAAGCCCCAGUGUCCUCGUGAAUCAAGCGGAGAUCAUCUUAAAGCCCUCAACAGGGACAAGUGUGAAGGAACCAGUAAGAGAAUGCUGAGAUCAGAAGCCUGGAUCCUGCCCAGCCCCAUCCCCGAUGGUCUCAUGCCAACCGUCAGGACCCAACGUUAUCCAGAGACUGGGCUCUAACCACAGCCUGGACUCCUCUAACCCUGGGCCCAGCCACAACCACUCUAGGACUUCUGCUUUGGAAAACAGAAAGCUCAAGCCCCCGAAAAUAAAAGUCCUGGAAAUGUUCCCAGUUAGCAGACACUAGGUCUCCCCUAGUGACACAGAGAGAAGAGAAACAAACAGGCACUAGGAGGGAUUGAGGUGGUCCCUCUGUCCCCCACACACUCCUUCACCCACUGGGCAGCUGCAGCAAUGCUCUCUGUCUUGGUGAUGUCCAUGGUCACCGUCUCCAGCCUGUCUGAAGUCUGGCCCCUCAGCUGCUUGGUCCCCUUCUCUGUCCUACAUGCAGCUCCCGCAAGCCUGUGCAUUCAGUUGUCUGGCCAGUAGCUUCCUGAAGCGUGAGUCACAGCUCAUGAUGAACACGUACUUGUCUCUCAGGUGACUCACCACCUGCCUCUCCCAGUACCAGUGCAGAAGGUAGUAUAGGCCCAGGAGGACCGCCAGGUAGAGCCACAUGGCUUUGCAGAGGACAGACCCAGACGGGCUGGGGUGAAGUGAGAGUCUGGCCUCUGUUCAGACAGGAGGACUUAAGAACACAGAGGGCUGAGGUAGGCAGGGAAGCCCUCAGGCAUUUUGGCAGAAAGUCCUCACUUUCCUCUCUGAUCACUGUCUUUCUGCACCAUUUUUUAUCCUGGCUUCAUCUCUCUGCUCUUUCAACUGCCUUUGCAGGUGUUCAUGCAUGCAACUGCAAACCCCAAGCUCUGCCCAGUGAGUAGUUAUCACUACUCAGCAAUGCUUCCCUAGUCCACCAAUGCCUCUCUGCCUUGCUGUGCCUACUCAGGUGUCCACACAGGGGCCCACACACACACACCAUGAAACACACCACUCUGAUCUACAAACAAGGGUCAGAACUUGUCUCUACAUAUCUUGUGAUAUGGUUUGGAUAUUUGUGCCACCAAAAUUGCAUGUUGAAAUGCGUUCCCCAAUAUUGGAGGCAGGAGCUGGUGGGAGGUGUUGGGUCAUGGUAGUGGAUCCCUCAUGGCUUGGUGCUGUCCUGGAGACACUGGAAUGAGUUGUGAUGGGAUCUGGUUGUUUAAAAGUGUGGCACCUCCCCAGCUCUCUCUUUCUUGCUCCCACUUGCCAUGUGACAAAUCAGCUCCCCCUUUGACUUCUGCAGUGAUUAUAAGCUUCCUGAUGCCUCACCAGGAGCCAAGCAGAUGCAUGCUUGUACAGCCUGCAGAACCAUGAGCCAAUUAAACCUGUUUUCUUUAUAAAUUACCCAGUCUCAGGUAUUUAUUAUAGCAACACAAGAACGGCCUAACACACAUUGUAUACCAACACUCCUGGACCAUGGUCUCCCAGAAAACAGACUUU
This 1646-nucleotide long non-coding RNA is filed under the name Homo sapiens (human). RNAcentral's name for it is "HSALNT0189919". Lineage: Eukaryota; Metazoa; Chordata; Mammalia; Primates; Hominidae. The record is from RNAcentral.